This 475-nucleotide ribosomal RNA is filed under the name uncultured Sphingobacterium sp. RNAcentral's name for it is "bacterial SSU rRNA". It matches the Rfam family "Bacterial small subunit ribosomal RNA", at positions 9 to 481 of the family's 1533-position model. The record is from RNAcentral. Lineage: Bacteria; Pseudomonadati; Bacteroidota; Sphingobacteriia; Sphingobacteriales; Sphingobacteriaceae.
GAGUUUGAUCUUGGCUCAGGAUGAACGCUAGCGGCAGGCAUAAUACAUGCAAGUUGAACGGGAUUCAGGUAGCAAUACUUGAUGAGAGUGGCGCACGGGUGCGUAACACGUAUGCAACCUACCUCUAACCGGGGAAUAGCCUCCUGAAAGGGAGAUUAAUACCCCAUAACAUUGCAGAAUGGCAUCAUUCAGCAAUUAAAGAUCCGUCGGUUAGAGAUGGGCAUGCGCAACAUUAGCUUGUUGGUAAGGUAAUGGCUUACCAAGGCUACGAUGUUUAGGGGGUCUGAGAGGAUGUCCCCCCACACUGGUACUGAGACACGGACCAGACUCCUACGGGAGGCAGCAGUAGGGAAUAUUGGUCAAUGGGCGCAAGCCUGAACCAGCCAUGCCGCGUGAAGGAUGAAGGCCCUCUGGGUUGUAAACUUCUUUUCUACGGGAAUAAACCUCUGAUCGUGAUCGGAGCUGAAGGUACCGU